CGGACGGGUGAGUAACGCGUGGAGAACCUGCCGUAUACUGGGGGAUAACACUUAGAAAUAGGUGCUAAUACCGCAUAAGCGCACAGCUUCGCAUGAAGCAGUGUGAAAAACUCCGGUGGUAUACGAUGGACCCGCGUCUGAUUAGCUUGUUGGCGGGGUAGGGGCCCACCAAGGCGACGAUCAGUAGCCGGCCUGAGAGGGUGGACGGCCACAUUGGGACUGAGACACGGCCCAAACUCCUACGGGAGGCAGCAG
This 255-nucleotide ribosomal RNA is filed under the name uncultured bacterium. Its description in RNAcentral is "partial 16S ribosomal RNA". It matches the Rfam family "Bacterial small subunit ribosomal RNA", at positions 99 to 354 of the family's 1533-position model. The record is from RNAcentral.